CAUGGUAUCGCGAUCAGCUUGCGUGCACCUAGACUAAUUCCACGGGAUACCUAUCACCUCCCACCCACAACAAGUACAGGUAACUCUGUCCAUUAAGGCUAGGACAUGAAAGAAACCACCUAAUGUUAUUUGUCUCUACUGGGGUUUAAACAUGAAAUCUCAUAGUUCUCAACCACUUCAUUAACACAGAAAAUAUUAACAAGUCUAUCAGCAGCUGUUUUCAGUUGUCAGUCACAAAAUGGCCUGGAUCUCACAUUUACACAGGAAAUAUAGCGCACAUACUCAACAAUAUAUUGCAUAACAAAACUGUAUGACUUUCCCCUAACACACGAAGCUUAGGAGAUGAAAUCAAUUCAACCAAUUGACAACCUAUUUACAUAAAAUACAGCUCAACCUUAUCAAUUCUUCUAUCAAAGAGCUAAUAGAAAUUGAGUCAACACCAAAAUUGAACAAUAUAAAUGCCGAAUUGCUAAAAAAAAAAAAUGAGCAGAGAGAGAAAAGGAUUCUAACUGGCGACAGUUUUGAGAGAUUCGUCAACGGCAGAGACAAUAGCGAAUUUACGGAGCUUGCAGAGAAUGUCGCUAAUCUUCUCCCGGCCAUCCGGGUAAAAAACGUACUCAUCGGAUUGAGUUCCGUCAUACUUGACCGGGCUGCUGGUUUUGGUCACCGGCGAUGAAACCCCACCACUGUACUCACCUUCUGAAGCAUAUGCAUCUGACGGUUUCUCUUGUCCUCUCCGGUUGAAAAGUUUCCCGGCGACUGCUCGGAAUUGUUGUAUAAUGCCCAUUACCUGUUAUCCACAAGAAAAUUUGCUGCUAUUUCGUCCCCUCUUUACCUAAUAUAUGAAAAAGACUAUUUUUCCAUAUUUAUCCGUCUGACGUUUCAAUAGAUGUUUCAGCCCGUUAUUUAUUUGACAUUAAUUUAGCCAUCGUUUGAUAGAGUGUAUUAAAAAAAAAAACAACGUAUUUGUAUCAUUUAAACUUAGAAAUAAUGCAUAAAGUCUAUCUAAACCAAUAUUAUUUUACAAAUUUCAUAUUUAAACUUUCAAAUAUUUUUAUUACCUCCUAAAUUAUAAUUUUUAAACUUCACCCCUGGAAGAAUAUUGCUUAAUGUGUCUAGUAAUAAAUUAGUUCAAAAUAAAAACCAAAAACAAAAAAUAGAUAGGGAUCAAUUGUUGACACGUGAGUUGUGUAAAAAAAAAAACCUUAUUUUUAUAAGGUAGAAUUAUUUAUUUAUUAAAAACAACUUCAUAUUCAAAAAUUGAAUUCAAAUUUUUUAAUUAAAAAUAAAAUAAUACACAUUAUUCCGCCACAACUUUUAGUGGUAAACCAAAAAAUCACUCAUUAUUCUUUUACCUAAUUAAAAAAAUUAGGGGAAAAAAUGUAGUUCAACCAUAUUGUCAUGCUACUUUACUGAAAUGUACUAAAGUAAAAUAUUCUGUCAUAAGCUCUAAUUUUAUUUUAUUUUUGGUGAGUACAAAAUUGCAAAUGCCAAUUCUUGCCAUUUGUGUUAAACUCAAGCAAAUCGAGUCAAUUUUAUUUAUUUAUUUAUUUAUUUAUUUAUUUUCAGAGUUAUCUUUUGUGACAUAUGGAGAGAAAGUGGCAAAAACUAUAUGUUUUGAAGGUAGUUUAAAAAAAAUGAGAGGAAACGAGAUUUCUUUGUUUUCUUAUAUAAUUUAAAUAGAGAAACAUAAUUUUUUAAAGAUUUUUUUACGUGGAAAGAUGAAAAUCUCUUAUAUGUAAAAAUUAAAAAAUAUUUCCACAGUUCGAUAAAUAUUUGACGAAGACUUAAAAUACUAACCAAAAAUUGCUCAAUGCAUAUUUAAGGAAUUAUUGUUAACCUGACCAUCAAAAUUGUCACAUCCAAUCCUAUACCUCAAAGUGAAAUAUAAUAUGAUCGUAGCAAUAAUAAACCUAACAAAAAGUUGAGGUUGACCCCAAGAGGAGUAUGUGUGUGUCAAGGCAUUUGAGAGUGUGAAUUUUCUAAACUAAUUUCAAACAAGGGAAUGAUCGAAUAAUUACUUUUAAAACUAGACUAUUUUAAUAAGCUACGACUCAGACACUAAUGAAUUUAUUUUCAAUUAUAAAAGAACUUGAAAUUGUAGCCUCAAUAUGACAUACCUAAUUCAUGAGCACAAGUAUCUUGCUCAAAUACAUCUUUUCCAUCUGCAAAUGUUUAAGAAGUCAUCUCCUGAUUCGUUGAUCUAUAGAUCAAGCUUAGGCAGGUUUGCAUAUAGUGUUUUAGACGGAAGGAUUAAUAAUAAAAAAUAAUUGUAUUGAUAAUUACUUCUUGGAGUUUAUCAACUUUAUCAAGCUAAUUUCCAAAAGUUCUUCACGUUGGGUUCUAGUGUUGAAAAUGAAUAGAAAAUGGAGGGAAUGUGAAAAAAUAACUUCACUUAUUGAAAGAGUCUUUCUCUCACAUUGAUAGGAUAAAGGAACUUUCAAGUGUUUAAAUAUCGAACCACUUCUUCAUGUUGUUAAUUAAGGGUCGAGAAGAAGACAAGCCUCACACUUAAGUGUGUAAGGCCUAGAGAUGUUGGGGAUAUUAUUUGCUUUGAGCUUACGCCUGCACGACUUCUUGUCUUAAGUUGAGGUAUCACACAACCCCAGCUAUAAAUGAAACUAAUAUUGUUUUUGGAAUUUGAAAUGCAUACUUUAGUUUUUAUGUGUCUGGUAGUGCAAAUUCUCAGAGUUUCAGACUCCAGAAAGCAUUAAUAAUGUCCAAACAUCAGGCAAUGUGGUUAAGCACAUCAUAAUACCAGUUUAAUACUUCUAUAUGAUCAUAUAAUACAUGUAUUACAGAGUUAUAACACAAAUCACAAGAAAAUUACAGAAGCACAACCUAUAUUGUCAAGAAAGAUGAAAGUGUAGCUUCCUCAUUGCCAUGAUUUUACUGUUUUCUACAUUCGAGAACGAAUUAAAACAUUUUUUGGUUUAGAUUUUGUAGGCGUUGAACUCUUGAUAGGCUCGUCAGAGAAUUCGAAGGAAUCUAAUCCGUUGGUACACUUAGCUGACGCCUCAUUUUGCUGCUUCAUGUUGUUCAUGUCAUCCUGAAGUUUCUCCAUCUUUGCUUGCAUCUCCUCCCUCAUAACAGUAAAAUCUUGUUUGUCAAGUCUAGGACGUGAAGGCAAUUUAUCCUUCGAUCUUUCCUUAACGAUUUUACUCCCACCUGCAGAAACAAUUGAAAUCCAAUUAGUAUAUCAAUCCAAAAGGCUAAGAUUAUAAUCUCGACUUGAGAAAAGUAUCAAGUAGAGCUAGUUCCAAGGACGAAUGGGUCAACAUAUAGCUGUUUGCAUUAUCCAAAAUCCCAAACAACUGGUCAAUACUGAAAGGACCUCAACAAAUCAACGGAGGGGUGACACCAUUUUGGUUGUAGACAGGAUUGGGUGGGACUAUAAUAACAUUAAGGAUGGAAGUGCUGAUGUGACCAGGAAUCCUGGAGGACGUUGGAAAAACAAGUAUCACAUGAAUUGUGCAUGAGCUUAACGGCAUAACCGUAAUAAGCAUUCCAAUCUUGUGACUAUCAUAUCCUAAAUCAGUCAUAACAUUAGAUUACAAAACUUUAAACAAAGUGUGAUCAAAAUUCAAAGGGAAGGGAGCCUGUGCUGGAUGGGGUAUAGAGUAAGAUGUUUCUCAAGAUUAGCCAGGAUAACAAAUCCACGAGCUUUUUAUUUGGAGCAAAAGAUUAUUUGCACCUAGCGCCCUUCCCCAUACAUAUACCAAAGAUGGGAGUGAGUUGGGACUAAGCAGCCCAAAUUAUCAUUCUCCUAAUCAUACCCCAUUCCCUGACCUACCCCUUACCCCAGACAUCAGAUAAGACCCACAUUUUUUUAAAGAAGUGAGUAAAAUAUAUCCCAUGCUCGAUUCGUGUUCUCUAUUAUGUUUAGGUCCUUCCAGACAAACUCUAGGAACAAGAACUUCUUGUGUUGACCAAGGACAAUAAGUUUGGAAGAACCAAUUACUGCAAAUGACAUUGAGAUAAAAUGAUAGAAAUCAUGCAUUCACUGGGUUCAAAAUUAUUCUAAGCAUCCCAGCUUCUGGUGGUUUGUCAGUAUUGAUUAUCCGACUUUAAUGCUGGACUAAAAUGAAAGAGAAAAAAGAAGAAAUUAAUUGAAAGAAAUUAUUCCAAGGAAACAUAGAAAAGUGGACCACCCUAUUUGGAGGAAUGUCAUUGACAGUAAAUACAACAUGACAUAAGAAACAGGAAGUCUUAAAAUAAGCUAGGCGCAAAUUCAAACACGAGGAUGUAAGCCAAAAAACUUAAAUAAGCUAAGCGAAAAUACAAAGAAGAGGAAGCAAACCAGGAAAAUACAUACACGAGAAAGUAAACGAGCAAGCUUAAAUAAGCUAGGCACAAAUACAAACACGGAGAUGUAAACCAGAAAACUUAAACAAGCUAAGCGCAAAUACAAACACGAGCAAGUAAACCAGAAAACUUAAAUAAGCUAAGCACAAAAUACAAAAACAAGGAUGUAAACCAGAAAACUUAAAUAAGCUAAGCGCAAAUAUGUAAACUAGAAAACUCAAAUAAGCUAUGCGCAAAUACAAACACGAAGAAGUAAACCAGAAAACUUAGAUAAGCUAGGGGCAAAUACAAACACGAGGAUGUAAACCAGAAAACUUAAAUAAGCUAAGCGCAAAAUACAAACACGAGGAUAUAAAAAACAGAAAACUUAAAUAAGCUAUUCACAAAUACAAACACGAAGAAGUAAACGAGAAAACUUAAAUAAGCUAGGUGCAAAUACAAACAUGAGGAAGUAGACCAGAAAACUUAAAUAAGUUAGGUGCAAAAUACAAACACAAGGAAGUAAACCAGAAAACUUAAAUAAGCUAGGCUCUGUUAUUGACUUAUGACUUAUAGUACAGGAUUUGGAGGGUAUAUUUAAUAGUCCGGAGGUAAUUUCAAACACAUUGCAUAUAUAAUGGCACCAACAGAAUUAGCUUUGAUCUGAAAAUUAGUGUAGAAAGUUGCCCAAUCUUAACAAGUUCUUUUUUUUUAAUAACCGUGGUAUCGCGAUCAGCUUGCGUGCACCUAGACUAAUUCCACGGGAUACCUAUCACCUCCCACCCACAACAAGUACAGGUCCACUAAGGCUAGGACAUGAAAGAAACCACCUAAUGUUUAUUUGUCUCUACUGGGGGUUUAAACAUGAAAUCUCAUAGUUCUCAACCACUUCAUUAACACAGAAAAUAUUAACAAGUCUACCAGCAGCUGUUUUCAGUUGUCAGUCGCAAAAUGGCUGCACGACUUCUUGUUAAAUUCUCAGAGUUUCAGACUCCAGAAAGCAUUAAUAAUGUCCAAAC
RNAcentral lists this long non-coding RNA (5303 nucleotides) under Solanum tuberosum (potato). RNAcentral describes it as "long non-coding RNA (STUB_LNC011089)". Lineage: Eukaryota; Viridiplantae; Streptophyta; Magnoliopsida; Solanales; Solanaceae. The record is from RNAcentral.